This 253-nucleotide ribosomal RNA is filed under the name uncultured bacterium. RNAcentral describes it as "partial 16S ribosomal RNA". It matches the Rfam family "Bacterial small subunit ribosomal RNA", at positions 524 to 776 of the family's 1533-position model. The record is from RNAcentral.
UACAGAGGUCCCAAGCGUUGUUCGGAUUCACUGGGCGUAAAGGGUGCGUAGGUGGUCGGGUAAGUCUGAUGUGAAAUCUCCGAGCUCAACUCGGAAAUGGCAUUGGAUACUAUUCGGCUAGAGGGUUUGAGGGGGGACUGGAAUACUUGGUGUAGCAGUCAAAUGCGUAGAUAUCAAGUGGAACACCAGUGGCGAAGGCGAGUCCCUGGAAAACUCCUGACACUGAGGCACGAAAGCUAGGGGAGCAAACAGG